This 778-nucleotide ribosomal RNA is filed under the name uncultured bacterium. RNAcentral describes it as "bacterial SSU rRNA". It matches the Rfam family "Bacterial small subunit ribosomal RNA", at positions 670 to 1447 of the family's 1533-position model. The record is from RNAcentral.
CAUGNGUAGCGGUGAAAUGCGUAGAUAUAUGGAGGAACACCAGUGGCGAAAGCGGCUCUCUGNUCUGUCACUGACGCUGAGGCUNUAAAGCGUGGGUAGCGAACAGGAUUAGAUACCCUGGUAGUCCACGCCGUAAACGAUGAGUGCUAGGUGUUAGGCCCUUUCCGGGGCUUAGUGCCGGAGCUAACGCAAUAAGCACUCCGCCUGGGGAGUACGACCGCAAGGUUGAAACUCAAAGGAAUUGACGGGGGCCCGCACAAGCGGUGGAGCAUGUGGUUUAAUUCGAAGCAACGCGAAGAACCUUACCAGGUCUUGACAUCCCGAUGCUAUUCUUAGAGAUAGGAAGUUACUUCGGUACAUCGGAGACAGGUGGUGCGUGGUUGUCGUCAGCUCGUGUCGUGAGAUGUUGGGUUAAGUCCCGCAACGAGCGCAACCCUUAUUGUUAGUUGCCAUCAUUAAGUUGGGCACUCUAGCGAGACUGCCGGUAAUAAACCGGAGGAAGGUGGGGAUGACGUCAAAUCAUCAUGCCCCUUAUGACCUGGGCUACACACGUGCUACAAUGGUCGGUACAACGAGUUGCGAGCCGGUGACGGCAAGCUAAUCUCUGAAAGCCGAUCUCAGUUCGGAUUGGAGGCUGCAACUCGCCUCCAUGAAGUCGGAAUCGCUAGUAAUCGCGGAUCAGCACGCCGCGGUGAAUACGUUCCCGGGCCUUGUACACACCGCCCGUCACACCACGAGAGUUUGUAACACCCGAAGUCGGUGAGGUANCCUUUUAGGG